AUUGAACGCUGGCGGCAGGCCUAACACAUGCAAGUCGAGCGGAUGAAGGGAGCUUGCUCCUGGAUUCAGCGGCGGACGGGUGAGUAAUGCCUAGGAAUCUGCCUGGUAGUGGGGGAUAACGUCCGGAAACGGGCGCUAAUACCGCAUACGUCCUGAGGGAGAAAGUGGGGGAUCCUCGGACCUCACGCUAUCAGAUGAGCCUAGGUCGGAUUAGCUAGUUGGUGGGGUAAAGGCCUACCAAGGCGACGAUCCGUAACUGGUCUGAGAGGAUGAUCAGUCACACUGGAACUGAGACACGGUCGAGACUCCUACGGGAGGCAGCAGUGGGGAAUAUUGGACAAUGGGCGAAAGCCUGAUCCAGCCAUGCCGCGUGUGUGAAGAAGGUCUUCGGCUUGUAAAGCACUUUAAGUUGGGAGGAAGGGCAGUAAGUUAAUACCUUGCUGUUUUGACGUUACCAACAGAAUAAGCACCGGCUAACUUCGUG
Molecule: ribosomal RNA, 484 nt
Filed under: uncultured bacterium
Lineage: Bacteria
Description: partial 16S ribosomal RNA
Rfam family: Bacterial small subunit ribosomal RNA
Source: RNAcentral